GAUGAACGCUGGCGGCGUGCCUAAUACAUGCAAGUCGAGCGAACGGACGAGAAGCUUGCUUCUCUGAUGUUAGCGGCGGACGGGUGAGUAACACGUGGAUAACCUACCUAUAAGACUGGGAUAACUUCGGGAAACCGGAGCUAAUACUGGAUAAUAUUUUGAACCGCAUGGUUCAAAAGUGAAAGACGGUCUUGCUGUCACUUAUAGAUGGAUCCGCGCUGCAUUAGCUAGUUGGUAAGGUAACGGCUUACCAAGGCAACGAUGCAUAGCCGACCUGAGAGGGUGAUCGGCCACACUGGAACUGAGACACGGUCCAGACUCCUACGGGAGGCAGCAGUAGGGAAUCUUCCGCAAUGGGCGAAAGCCUGACGGAGCAACGCCGCGUGAGUGAUGAAGGUCUUCGGAUCGUAAAACUCUGUUAUUAGGGAAGAACAUAUGUGUAAGUAACUGUUCACAUCUUGACGGUACCUAAUCAGAAAGCCACGGCUAACUACGUG
This 497-nucleotide ribosomal RNA is filed under the name uncultured bacterium. RNAcentral's name for it is "partial 16S ribosomal RNA". It matches the Rfam family "Bacterial small subunit ribosomal RNA", at positions 28 to 507 of the family's 1533-position model. The record is from RNAcentral.